GGGUUGUGAGGUUAAGCGACUAAGCGUACACGGUGGAUGCCCUGGCAGUCAGAGGCGAUGAAGGACGUGCUAAUCUGCGAAAAGCGUCGGUAAGGUGAUAUGAACCGUUAUAACCGGCGAUGUCCGAAUGGGGAAACCCAGUGCAAUUCGUUGCACUAUCGUUAACUGAAUACAUAGGUUAACGAGGCGAACCGGGGGAACUGAAACAUCUAAGUACCCCGAGGAAAAGAAAUCAACCGAGAUUCCCCCAGUAGCGGCGAGCGAACGGGGAGCAGCCCAGAGUCUGAAUCAGCUUGUGUGUUAGUGGAACGGUCUGGAAAGUCCGACGGUACAGGGUGAUAGUCCCGUACACCAAAAUGCACAGGUUGUGAACUCGAAGAGUAGGGCGGGACACGUGGUAUCCUGUCUGAAUAUGGGGGGACCAUCCUCCAAGGCUAAAUACUCCUGACUGACCGAUAGUGAACCAGUACCGUGAGGGAAAGGCGAAAAGAACCCCGGCGAGGGGAGUGAAAAAGAACCUGAAACCGUGUACGUACAAGCAGUGGGAGCACCUUCGGGUGUGACUGCGUACCUUUUGUAUAAUGGGUCAGCGACUUAUAUUCUGUAGCAAGGUUAACCGUAUAGGGGAGCCGCAGGGAAACCGAGUCUUAACUGGGCGUUAAGUUGCAGGGUAUAGACCCGAAACCCGGUGAUCUAGCCAUGGGCAGGUUGAAGGUUGGGUAACACUAACUGGAGGACCGAACCGACUAAUGUUGAAAAAUUAGCGGAUGACUUGUGGCUGGGGGUGAAAGGCCAAUCAAACCGGGAGAUAGCUGGUUCUCCCCGAAAGCUAUUUAGGUAGCGCCUCGUGAAUUCAUCUUCGGGGGUAGAGCACUGUUUCGGCUAGGGGGUCAUCCCGACUUACCAACCCGAUGCAAACUACGAAUACCGAAGAAUGUUAUCACGGGAGACACACGGCGGGUGCUAACGUCCGUCGUGAAGAGGGAAACAACCCAGACCGCCAGCUAAGGUCCCAAAGUCAUGGUUAAGUGGGAAACGAUGUGGGAAGGCACAGACAGCCAGGAUGUUGGCUUAGAAGCAGCCAUCAUUUAAAGAAAGCGUAAUAGCUCACUGGUCGAGUCGGCCUGCGCGGAAGAUGUAACGGGGCUAAACCAUGCACCGAAGCUGCGGCAGCGACACUAUGUGUUGUUGGGUAGGGGAGCGUUCUGUAAGCCUGCGAAGGUGACCUGUGAGGGUUGCUGGAGGUAUCAGAAGUGCGAAUGCUGACAUAAGUAACGAUAAAGCGGGUGAAAAGCCCGCUCGCCGGAAGACCAAGGGUUCCUGUCCAACGUUAAUCGGGGCAGGGUGAGUCGACCCCUAAGGCGAGGCCGAAAGGCGUAGUCGAUGGGAAACAGGUUAAUAUUCCUGUACUUGGUGUUACUGCGAAGGGGGGACGGAGAAGGCUAUGUUAGCCGGGCGACGGUUGUCCCGGUUUAAGCAUGUAGGCUGGUUAUCCAGGCAAAUCCGGAUAAUCAAGGCUGAGGUGUGAUGACGAGGCACUACGGUGCUGAAGUAACAAAUGCCCUGCUUCCAGGAAAAGCCUCUAAGCAUCAGGUAACAUCAAAUCGUACCCCAAACCGACACAGGUGGUCAGGUAGAGAAUACCAAGGCGCUUGAGAGAACUCGGGUGAAGGAACUAGGCAAAAUGGUGCCGUAACUUCGGGAGAAGGCACGCUGGUGUGUAGGUGAAGCCCCUGCGGGUGGAGCUGAGACCAGUCGAAGAUACCAGCUGGCUGCAACUGUUUAUUAAAAACACAGCACUGUGCAAACACGAAAGUGGACGUAUACGGUGUGACGCCUGCCCGGUGCCGGAAGGUUAAUUGAUGGGGUUAUCCGUAAGGAGAAGCUCUUGAUCGAAGCCCCGGUAAACGGCGGCCGUAACUAUAACGGUCCUAAGGUAGCGAAAUUCCUUGUCGGGUAAGUUCCGACCUGCACGAAUGGCGUAAUGAUGGCCAGGCUGUCUCCACCCGAGACUCAGUGAAAUUGAACUCGCUGUGAAGAUGCAGUGUACCCGCGGCAAGACGGAAAGACCCCGUGAACCUUUACUAUAGCUUGACACUGAACAUUGAGCCUUGAUGUGUAGGAUAGGUGGGAGGCUUUGAAGCGUGGACGCCAGUCUGCGUGGAGCCAACCUUGAAAUACCACCCUUUAAUGUUUGAUGUUCUAACGUUGGCCCCUUAUCGGGGUUGCGGACAGUGUCUGGUGGGUAGUUUGACUGGGGCGGUCUCCUCCCAAAGCGUAACGGAGGAGCACGAAGGUUAGCUAAUCCUGGUCGGACAUCAGGAGGUUAGUGCAAUGGCAUAAGCUAGCUUGACUGCGAGCGUGACGGCGCGAGCAGGUGCGAAAGCAGGUCAUAGUGAUCCGGUGGUUCUGAAUGGAAGGGCCAUCGCUCAACGGAUAAAAGGUACUCCGGGGAUAACAGGCUGAUACCGCCCAAGAGUUCAUAUCGACGGCGGUGUUUGGCACCUCGAUGUCGGCUCAUCACAUCCUGGGGCUGAAGUAGGUCCCAAGGGUAUGGCUGUUCGCCAUUUAAAGUGGUACGCGAGCUGGGUUUAGAACGUCGUGAGACAGUUCGGUCCCUAUCUGCCGUGGGCGCUGGAGAAUUGAGGGGGGCUGCUCCUAGUACGAGAGGACCGGAGUGGACGCAUCACUGGUGUUCGGGUUGUCAUGCCAAUGGCACUGCCCGGUAGCUAAAUGCGGAAGAGAUAAGUGCUGAAAGCAUCUAAGCACGAAACUUGCCCCGAGAUGAGUUCUCCCUGAGACUUUAAGUCUCCUGAAGGAACGUUGAAGACGACGACGUUGAUAGGCCGGGUGUGUAAGCGCAGCGAUGCGUUGAGCUAACCGGUACUAAUGAACCGUGAGGCUUAACCUUACAACGCCGAAG
This 2923-nucleotide ribosomal RNA is filed under the name Klebsiella pneumoniae. RNAcentral's name for it is "bacterial LSU rRNA". It matches the Rfam family "Bacterial large subunit ribosomal RNA". Lineage: Bacteria; Pseudomonadati; Pseudomonadota; Gammaproteobacteria; Enterobacterales; Enterobacteriaceae. The record is from RNAcentral.